RNAcentral lists this ribosomal RNA (253 nucleotides) under uncultured prokaryote. RNAcentral describes it as "partial 16S ribosomal RNA". It matches the Rfam family "Bacterial small subunit ribosomal RNA", at positions 525 to 777 of the family's 1533-position model. The record is from RNAcentral.
ACGGAGGGGGCUAGCGUUGUUCGGAAUUACUGGGCGUAAAGCGCACGUAGGCGGCUUGUUAAGUCAGGGGUGAAAUCCUGGAGCUCAACUCCAGAACUGCCUUUGAUACUGGCGAGCUUGAGUUCGGGAGAGGUGAGUGGAACUGCGAGUGUAGAGGUGAAAUUCGUAGAUAUUCGCAAGAACACCAGUGGCGAAGGCAGCUCACUGGCCCGAUACUGACGCUGAGGUGCGAAAGCGUGGGGAGCAAACAGGA